ACAGUUAUAAAUACACAACCUUUCAUUCUAGAGAUGGCCCAUUACCACUCACUAAAACAGUCUGUCACAGUGGUGCUCUGGGGCCAUUCAUUUUUCAUGACCUUCUUGGAGACGUGACUGGGAUUUCCUGAAACCACGCAUAGGUCCCUGCCCAGCAAGCGCUCUGCAUUAACAUCCCUUAAUUCUUCUCUUCCAAAGGGCCACUGUCAUAAGGACGCCUGGAAGAGUGAAGAAAGGCCUGAUUGAUCACAAGGUCCUAUCAAAUGUCAAAGCUGGCCCUGGCUGACCUCCCAUCUAUUCAGAGCUGCUUUGAUUUAAUCUCCAAACUGGCUGCUUCUCCAGGCUAGAAGAGAAUUGAAAAUUUCAAGAAGGCAAAGGUGAUGGAAGUGUCUUCAUGAGACCCUUGGGUAACAUAAAUUGGCAAAGAAUUGGAUGAUCUGGGUUCUAAGAUCUGGCCUUAAAACUAGCCAUCUAUUGACUGAGUGAAAUAUUUUGCUACAGAGUGGUAGAGGAUCACUAGGCACAACCCUCUGCUCUUGAGUUGCUAAAAGGGCCUACUUCCAGAGAUGGCCAAGAAAGUUUGGGACUCUAGCACUCAGCUGAUUUUCCUAAAGAAAAGCCCUCAGGAUGUGCUCAAAGACCUGGAUCAGGCACACUGAGGUGAUGAUGGGAGGUCAGGAAAAUGGCCAGAAUGGAACUAAGAUUUAACUUCCCAGAACACUCAUAUAUGAUUUUUCUGAAAAGUUUUUUCCGCACCUUAGCAAUAUUAACUACUUUGAAUACUCAAGUCCAGAAUAAUUACAUUUUCCUUCUUUCACAUUCUGACACUUAUAUAUAUAUCACUUAUGAGAUAUUUAAUACUACUCUUUUGAGAAUAAAUAGUUUAUUUUUAGUGUGAUGAUGUCUUUUUAAUCCAAUGAAACUGUUAGCAUCAAUAAGGACAGAGAUACUACCUUUAUUUCUGGCACACAGUUCUCUGUAUCUCGCAAACUCCAGCACAGUAUAAUCUACUCAGCAUCAGACACAUGGGAAAACACUAUCUAAACAGGAAAGCAUUGUACAAACAUUAGUAGUUGUUAUUAUGAUUAGAAUUGAUGUUUCAGGUAAUUUAAUAAUUACUCUUACUUCUGGUACAUACCCUCCUCCAGGAAUGUAAAAGCUCGUCAGUGUUUACUGGGCUUAGCAUAGAUGUCCUGAGAUCUUAGCAUUUCUAAGAUUUCAAACUGUACAAGAAUAUACAAAAGAACAUUUAUCAUGCUCUCCAUUCAGAAGGAUAAUAUUAAAAAUUAAUAAGCAUUUUAGUCUGCUGGGAUGCAACAUAAUUCAGGGGAGGGGAGGAGGUCCGUCGCUAUCUUUUUCAAGGGCAAUUCACAACAACACUUUGCAUGAUAAAUUCCUGAAGCUUGAUGUUCUCCUCACCAUUAUACAAUGUGAGUGCUGACAAGGUCUUUUAAAAAUAACAAUACUUUAUUUUAAAUUAGUUCAUCUGUUUGGGGAAAAAGGCAGCAGUGUGCACCUAUAUAGGUGUCAUAUCCUUUAGUCCCAUAAAUUUCACAACUAAAACUAUAUCUUCUUUUUUUGUUUGUUUGAAAUGGAGUCUCACUCUGUUACCCAGGCUGAAAUGCAGUGGCACAAUUUCGGCUCACUGCAGCCUCCACCUCCUGGGCUCAAGUGAUUCCCCUGCCUCAGUCUCCUGAGUAGCUGGGAUUACAGGUGGCCACCACCGCACCCAGCUAAUGUUUGUAUUUUUAGUAAAGAUGGGGUUUUACCAUGUUGGCCAAGCUGGUCUUGAACUCCUGACCUCAGGUGAACCACCUGCCUUGGCCUCCCAAAGUGCUGGGAUUACAGAAAUGAGCCACCACGCCUGGCCUAAAACUAUAUCUUAAAAAAAAUAGUUCACGUAAGAAACAAAAAUCUUAAGGAAGGAAUGACUUUACUUGUGACUUAUUGAUGAUAAAAGGAACUUGGAAACAAUUUGGAUGCCCAAUAUUAGAAAUGCUUAAAUAAAUUAUACUAGCAAGAAAACACAUUAGAAAGAUGUUAACAUUUAGCACUUUAGAGCUUAGACAAAUAUAUAGAAAAAUUUUUUUUGGAAAAGCUUAAUGCGAUAUUUGUACACAAGUAUGUGAAAUGCUAUAUAUGAAUGCUAACAUUCCCCAAAAGCAAAGACUUAUUUUACUGGGUAGGCUGUUUGCAUUGUAUAAAAAACAUGAGUUUAGAAUUAGAGCUAGAUUUAAAUUCCAGUUCUUCCAUAAGCUGUGUGACACUUGCAAAUUAUUAAUCCUCUCUGGAUAUCUAUUUCCUUAUUAGCAAGUGUGUGUGUGUGUGUGUGUGUGUGUGUGUGUGUGUGUGUGUGUGUGUUAAGCAAAGCCACUUUAAGAGUCUAGGACAUAGUAGGAGCUCAAUGCUAUUAUUUCCCUUUCCCUUUACUAAAUACCUGAGACUCCCUUGGUUUAAAAAGUUUUGUUCAAAUUGACUGACUUUUAUAGAAAUUUCAAUGUCGUUGUUUUUGACCCAUGCAAGAAUUUCUAACAGAUGAGACUCUAUUAAUUAAUGUGAUGAUUCUCCUGUAAUUGGUCAAUAAUCUUUACAUUUGAAUAGAUUUCAGAACAGUAUUAAAUAUCUUGGGUUGGAGGUUAAUUUCUAUAAACAGAAAUGUAUAUCCAACAGUGUUGCAUUUUAGCUGAUCUUGACUAUAAACGAGUGCAAUUUGUGUUCAUUUCCCAUAUAUCAUUGACACUAAAUUUUGGAACACUUACAUCUGGGUUAUGUUUGAGUAACCUUCUGGGAGUAUCUCUCCAUAGAUUUGGGAAUGAAAUAUCUCCCAAAUAUAAUGCAAUUUCAGAAUGCCUAGAAACUCACUACGUAGUAUAUAUGCGUAUUUAAAAGAAACUGGUCUCAUACAUGAUAAAAGAAGGUUAAUGCUAGACAUAAUGACUAUUGCCACUUGGUAGCAGGGGCCAGAGAGAACAGGAAAAAGAUUAAACAAGAGGAUUAAAAUUAUUUUUCAAGUAAGGCUAUACCUCUGUAUACGUGCUUAAUUACAAAAGGAAAUUAGGAGCAAGUGCAUGUAUAUUACUGCAUGUAUAAACAUAGAGUUUAAUCGGUUUGGAGUAACUUAAUGACUGCUUGCAAUAUUUCUGGCGAUUUGUUCUAAGCUUUGUGAUUUUAAAUUGGUUUCUUGAAAAUGCUGGAUAAAACAUUUGAAUUCACACAUUGCUUUAGGAAUUGAUUUGGAGAUAAUAAAAUAUAAUGAAAUGUUUC
RNAcentral lists this long non-coding RNA (3264 nucleotides) under Homo sapiens (human). RNAcentral describes it as "HSALNT0064638". The record is from RNAcentral. Lineage: Eukaryota; Metazoa; Chordata; Mammalia; Primates; Hominidae.